Molecule: non-coding RNA, 378 nt
Organism: Microtus oregoni (creeping vole)
Lineage: Eukaryota; Metazoa; Chordata; Mammalia; Rodentia; Cricetidae
Source: the annotation of a RefSeq genome assembly
AUGGACAUGAGGGCCCCUGCUCAGCUCCUUUGGUUUCUAUUUCUCUGCCUUUCAGGUUCCAGAGGUGACAUUCAGGUGACACAGUCUCCAUCCUCCCUGUCUGCAUCUGUGGGAGACAGAGUCACUAUCACUUGCAGGACAAGUCAGGAUAUUAGAAGAUAUCUACAAUGGUUCCAGCAGAAACCAGGGCAAGCUCCUAAGCUCCUGAUCUAUGGUGCAUCUAACUUGGCAAAUGGGGUCCCAUCAAGGUUCAGUGGCAGUGGGUCUGGGACAGAUUAUUCUCUCACCAUCAGCAGCCUGCAGUCUGAAGAUAUUUCAAAUUAUUACUGUCUACAGUAUGAUGAGAAUCCUCCCACAGUGAUACAAGUCAUAACAUAA